This is an RNA transcript of Aphis gossypii (cotton aphid), 1444 nucleotides long. RefSeq lists it as uncharacterized. The record is from RefSeq and is a predicted model, not a curated record. The transcript is spliced from 7 exons. Lineage: Eukaryota; Metazoa; Arthropoda; Insecta; Hemiptera; Aphididae.
AAUAAAAGAUUUUUGCCUUCAAACAUGCAACCGUGUUUGUUAGUUCCAACAAGUUCAAUAAUUAAAAAUUUUUAAAUAAAAAAAAAUGUAAUUUUGUAACCAGUAUAUGCUAUUGAAAGAUGUCACGGAAUUACAAAACAUGCAUACUAAAAAUUUAAGAGAAAAAUAAAUUUAAAAACUAAAAAGUUACCCAGGUAACAUAAAGCUUGUUAAUUGUUUUAUUUGGCGUUUGCUGCUAACAUUGACGACCAGUGGACCACUAAUACAAUAAUAAUAUAGCUGAACAAGACUACAAAUUAUUAGCUUAAAAAUUUUAAUACCUACCUUGUAACUAUGCUACAUGCAUGUUUGUUUUGAUAAUACAUAAUUAUUUUAUUUUUGUACUUGCUUACAGAUUCCAGAAUCAAUACGUUUAUAAUUAAAUGUAGACAUAUAUUUUUUUUUGUUUAAAGUAUAGGUACUAGGAAAUUAUUGCAAUGUAAAGUAUGUUCGAUCGUCAUUCUCAACGUUCAACAAGAUUUUUAACAUUCGUUGUACUUCAUUGUACAAUAUCCAUUAUUAAAUAUGCAGACAGGCCAGACGAAUGAAACACUGACAGUUGUGGGGAAACGCUGUAGAGUGAUCGGUCUUAUAAAUUGUAUACUUUUAAGUUUCGAGUUAUUGGUGUUUGUAUUAUUUAUAAUAUAUAUGGAAAUCUAUAUUGAUGAUUUUUUCAAACCACAAGAAAGGGAAAAUCCGGCUUUUGUAUACUUAGUCAUCGUUCUUUUGUUGAUCAUGCUCGUCUGCAUAUUAUUAUAUUCUAACUAUAGAUUGUUAAGUCUAAAUACGUAAUGGAAGUGUGAUUAAAAAAUGGCUGUUAUACCAUAAAAUUAUAUUUUGUUUUUUUCUUCUAAUAUUUAUCUUGGAUGUAUUCUAUAAUUAUCAAUAUCCAACUUUAUGUUCUUUCAUGGGUAUCCCAGUUAUAAUACUAUUGGUUGAAAUAAUAAUUGUUCACAAGUUCUACAAACAAGUUACAUCAUCUAUUGGAGAAAAUCAGCUUUCAAGUGUUUUUGUUACACCAUACAUGACAACAUAAGAAUUCCUUAAUUAAUCAUAAAUAUGUCAUACUUCUCAUUUUCUAAUAUUAAUGACCAAUUUUCACAUUUAAUAAGGAUACAGCUGAUUGGACUAUUGUUUAAUAUCUUGAAUAGCAGAUAAAAUUGAUAUUGGCCUAUAGACUAUGAUGAGAAAGCUCGUUCUCAGGGGUCCAAACUUGGCGCCUAACCAACUACAAACCGGAAAGGGAGGGUGAAAUCUAGACGAAAUUAAGAGAAGCAACGUAAGAAUUUACAUUCACAACUUGGACCGAAUAUGAGAUUAAAAAUUUAACCACAAUACAAUAUUUGAAAAAAUUUGUGUAUACAUUCAGAAGGAUUGAUUAAUAAUAAAAUAUUUAUUAUACUAA